This 209-nucleotide non-coding RNA is filed under the name Salmo salar (Atlantic salmon). Its description in RNAcentral is "Eukaryotic large subunit ribosomal RNA". It matches the Rfam family "Eukaryotic large subunit ribosomal RNA", at positions 1630 to 1836 of the family's 3401-position model. Lineage: Eukaryota; Metazoa; Chordata; Actinopteri; Salmoniformes; Salmonidae. The record is from Rfam by way of RNAcentral.
UGAGGCAUCCAGUGCGGUAACGCGACCGAUCCUGGAGAAGCUGGCGGGAGCCCCGGGGAGAGUUCUCUUUUCUUUGUGAUGGGCAGGGUGCCCUGGAAUGGGUCCGCCCCGAGAGAGGGGCCCAAGCCCUGGAAAGUGUUGUAGUUUCGGCAUCGUCUGGUGGGCUAUCCCUGGCCCUUGAAAAUCUGGGGGAGAGGCUGUAAAUCUCA